Non-coding RNA from Baffinella frigidus, 73 nucleotides. The record is from the annotation of a GenBank genome assembly. NCBI's taxonomy places the organism in Eukaryota, Cryptophyceae, Cryptomonadales, Baffinellaceae.
GUCAGAGUGUCGUAGUGGAUAAGGAUGUGGUCAUGUAGGCAAAAGAUCAUGGGUUCAAUUCCCGUCGUCGGCA